Molecule: ribosomal RNA, 327 nt
Filed under: uncultured eukaryote
Lineage: Eukaryota
Description: partial 18S ribosomal RNA
Rfam family: Eukaryotic small subunit ribosomal RNA
Source: RNAcentral
CCCUUAGAUGUUCUGGGCCGCACGCGCGCUACACUGACGAAUGCAACGAGCUUAUAACCUUGGCCGAAAGGUCUGGGUAAUCUCCAAAUUUCGUCGUGAUGGGGAUAGAUUAUUGCAAUUAUUAAUCUUCAACGAGGAAUGCCUAGUAAGCGCAAGUCAUCAGCUUGCGUUGAUUACGUCCCUGCCCUUUGUACACACCGCCCGUCGCUCCUACCGAUUGAAUGGUCCGGUGAAGCGCUCGGACCGCGGCCUCUUGACGGUUUUCCGUCGAUUGGUUGUGGGAAGUUCGUUAAACCUUAUCAUUUAGAGGAAGGAGAAGUCGUAACA